ACCCCCCCGCCAAAAAAGCUACUUUUUUGGCUUUUCCUUCAUAAUAUAGUGAUCUUAUUACAAUCAAUGUUACAAUCUCUCAAGUUAGACCUAUACAAUUUCAUCACUCCUAAUAGUGUUGGAGUCAUUUUAAGGAAAUCCAAGUUUCAGGUUUUGGUUUCUGUGAAUUUGACAAUAAUGGGGUCUAAAAAAAGACCCUUUUCAACCUCAUCAGUUACUGCAAAAUCAAAUGAACCAAUGAGUGUGAAAGCUGAUAAGGGUGUUUCAAAGGUUGUUUCUUUUUGACCUAUUAAUGUCUUUUUCAGCAUUUUGAGGAUGGUUUAAUUGGACAGAUUGAGGCUUUUUUGUUUGUUUGAGUUUUUAUUAUUACAUGUAGGAAAAAGGUGGCAAGAUUCUCGUGGAGGAUAUGGAGACAGUGGAGAAAAUGACAGUUCCACAGCUCAGGGUGAAACUUAGGAGUCUUGGGAUUCCUUCCAGAGGUACUAAGCAAGAACUUGUUACUUCUUUGAAGACUUUCCUAGACAGCAAACUAGUGUUACUCUUUUAUGUCCUUUUAAUUGCAACCAAGCCG
Molecule: long non-coding RNA, 571 nt
Organism: Lycium ferocissimum
Lineage: Eukaryota; Viridiplantae; Streptophyta; Magnoliopsida; Solanales; Solanaceae
Exons: 3
Source: RefSeq, a predicted model, not a curated record